GACAAAGGUGGCGAGCGUUACUCGGAAUUACUAGGCGUAAAGCGUGAGCAGGCGGUUCGGCAAGUCCGUUGUGAAAGCCCCGGGCUCAACCCGGGGAGGCCAAUGGAUACUGCCGGACUUGAAUACGGGAGAGGUUACUGGAAUUCCUGGUGUAGCGGUGAAAUGCGUAGAUAUCAGGAGGAACACCGAAGGCGAAAGCAGGUAACUGGACCGUUAUUGACGCUGAGUCACGAAAGCCGGGGGAGCAAACAGG
Molecule: ribosomal RNA, 253 nt
Filed under: uncultured prokaryote
Description: partial 16S ribosomal RNA
Rfam family: Bacterial small subunit ribosomal RNA
Source: RNAcentral